CCUACGGGCGGCAGCAGUGAGGAAUAUUGGUCAAUGGACGAGAGUCUGAACCAGCCAAGUAGCGUGAAGGAUGACUGCCCUAUGGGUUGUACACUUCUUUUAUCUGGGAAUAAACUGUUCCACGUGUGGGAUUUUGUCUGUAACAUAUGACUAAGGAUCGUCUAACUCCGUGCCAGCAGCCGCGGUAAUACGGAGGAUCCGAGCGUUAUCCGGAUUUAUUGGGUUUAAAGGGAGCGUAGGUGGAUUGUUAAGUCAGUUGUGAAAGUUUGCGGCUCAACCGUAAAAUUGCAGUUGAAACUGGCAGUCUGGAGGACAGUAGAGGUGGGCGGAAGUCGUGGUGUAGCGGUGAAAUGCGUAGAUAUCACGAAGAACUCCGAGGGCGAAGGCAGCUCACUGGACUGCAACGGACACUGAGGCUCGAAAGUGUGGGUAUCAAACAGGAGUAGAUACCCGGGGAGUC
This 460-nucleotide ribosomal RNA is filed under the name uncultured bacterium. Its description in RNAcentral is "partial 16S ribosomal RNA". It matches the Rfam family "Bacterial small subunit ribosomal RNA", at positions 338 to 795 of the family's 1533-position model. The record is from RNAcentral.